RNAcentral lists this ribosomal RNA (225 nucleotides) under Triticum aestivum (bread wheat). RNAcentral's name for it is "partial small subunit ribosomal RNA". The record is from RNAcentral. Lineage: Eukaryota; Viridiplantae; Streptophyta; Magnoliopsida; Poales; Poaceae.
GUGAGCCGUCCUCUUUAUGCUGAGAAGGGUACAUCGCGCCGUGACACUUUCUGUGGUUACUGCUCCCGGUCAGGUCACCCAGAGUCUGAUUGUCGCCGGAAGAAGCGAGACCAGAGAUGCUCCCCUUCCAGUGGCCCUCCUGCGUCUUCCUCGACUCAGUCACUCACUGACCAGGACAUUGUACGCCUCAAGCGUCUACUUGCCUCCUCUGGCUCCUCGUCGACU